ACCGGAUUCGCUGAGAGGUGGUGCAUGGCCGUCGUCAGUUCGUACUGUGAAGCAUCCUGUUAAGUCAGGCAACGAGCGAGACCCACGCCCACAGUUGCCAGCGAUCCCUCCGGGGAGGCGGGUACUCUGGUGGGGACCGCCGCUGCUAAAGCGGAGGAAGGAAUGGGCAACGGUAGGUCAGUAUGCCCCGAAUCCCCCGGGCUACACGCGGGCUACAAUGGUCGGCACAAUGGGUACCGACCCCGAGAGGGGUAGGCAAUCUCCUAAAGCCGAUCGUAGUUCGGAUUGAGGGCUGAAACUCGCCCUCAUGAAGCUGGAAUCCGUAGUAAUCGCGUUUCAACAGAACGCGGUGAAUACGUCCCUGCUCCUU
This 370-nucleotide ribosomal RNA is filed under the name uncultured Methanosaeta sp. RNAcentral's name for it is "bacterial SSU rRNA". It matches the Rfam family "Archaeal small subunit ribosomal RNA", at positions 970 to 1338 of the family's 1478-position model. The record is from RNAcentral. Lineage: Archaea; Methanobacteriati; Methanobacteriota; Methanomicrobia; Methanotrichales; Methanotrichaceae.